This 253-nucleotide ribosomal RNA is filed under the name uncultured bacterium. RNAcentral's name for it is "partial 16S ribosomal RNA". It matches the Rfam family "Bacterial small subunit ribosomal RNA", at positions 524 to 776 of the family's 1533-position model. The record is from RNAcentral.
UACAGAGGUCCCAAGCGUUGUUCGGAUUCAUUGGGCGUAAAGGGUGCGUAGGCGGCGCGGUAAGUCGGGUGUGGAAUCUCGGAGCUUAACUCCGAAACUGCAUUCGAUACUGCCGUGCUUGAGGACUGGAGAGGAGACUGGAAUUUACGGUGUAGCGGUGAAAUGCGUAGAUAUCGUAAGGAAGACCAGUGGCGAAGGCGGGUCUCUGGACAGUUCCUGACGCUGAGGCACGAAGGUCAGGGGAGCAAACGGG